Molecule: ribosomal RNA, 876 nt
Filed under: Halorubrum sp. BTSH03
Lineage: Archaea; Methanobacteriati; Methanobacteriota; Halobacteria; Halobacteriales; Haloferacaceae
Description: bacterial SSU rRNA
Rfam family: Archaeal small subunit ribosomal RNA
Source: RNAcentral
GCGUCCGUACUGGCCGCGCAAGUCCAUCGGGAAAUCCACCUGCUCAACAGGUGGGCGCCCGGUAGAAACUGCGUGGCUUGGGACCGGAAGGCGCGACGGGUACGUCCGGGGUAGGAGUGAAAUCCCGUAAUCCUGGACGGACCGCCGAUGGCGAAAGCACGUCGCGAGAACGGAUCCGACAGUGAGGGACGAAAGCCAGGGUCUCGAACCGGAUUAGAUACCCGGGUAGUCCUGGCCGUAAACAAUGCCUGCUAGGUGUGGCUCCCACUACGAGUGGGUGCUGUGCCGUAGGGAAGCCGCUAAGCAGGCCGCCUGGGAAGUACGUCCGCAAGGAUGAAACUUAAAGGAAUUGGCGGGGGAGCACUACAACCGGAGGAGCCUGCGGUUUAAUUGGACUCAACGCCGGACAUCUCACCAGCAUCGACUGUAAUAAUGACGACCAGGUUGAUGACCUUGUCCGAGUUUCAGAGAGGAGGUGCAUGGCCGCCGUCAGCUCGUACCGUGAGGCGUCCUGUUAAGUCAGGCAACGAGCGAGACCCGCAUCCUUACUUGCCAGCAGUACCGCGAGGUAGCUGGGGACAGUAGGGAGACCGCCGUGGCUAACACGGAGGAAGGAACGGGCAACGGUAGGUCAGUAUGCCCCGAAUGUGCUGGGCAACACGCGGGCUACAAUGGUCGAGACAAAGGGUUCCAACUCCGAAAGGAGACGGUAAUCUCAGAAACUCGAUCGUAGUUCGGAUUGUGGGCUGCAACUCGCCCACAUGAAGCUGGAUUCGGUAGUAAUCGCGUGUCACAAGCGCGCGGUGAAUACGUCCCUGCUCCUUGCACACACCGCCCUGUCAAAGCACCCUGAGUGAGGUCCGGAUGAGGCGUCCA